Molecule: ribosomal RNA, 371 nt
Filed under: uncultured bacterium
Lineage: Bacteria
Description: bacterial SSU rRNA
Rfam family: Bacterial small subunit ribosomal RNA
Source: RNAcentral
GAACCGUGCGAACGUUGUUCGGAAUCACUGGGCUUAAAGGGCGCGUAGGCGGGCGCCGGGGUCGGGGGUGAAAGCCCGCAGCUCAACUGCGGAAGGGCCUCCGAUACCGGGCGCCUCGAGGGGGGUAGGGGCACGCGGAACUUCCGGUGGAGCGGUGAAAUGCGUAGAUAUCGGAAGGAACGCCGGCGGCGAAAGCGGCGUGCUGGGCCCCCCCUGACGCUGAGGCGCGAAAGCCAGGGGAGCGAACGGGAUUAGAUACCCCGGUAGUCCUGGCCCUAAACGAUGGGUACCAGGCCGCGGGCUGACAUGGGCUCGCGGCCGCGGCAAAAGUGUUAAGUACCCCGCCUGGGGAGUAUGGUCGCAAGGCUGAA